This 464-nucleotide ribosomal RNA is filed under the name uncultured bacterium. RNAcentral describes it as "partial 16S ribosomal RNA". It matches the Rfam family "Bacterial small subunit ribosomal RNA", at positions 29 to 507 of the family's 1533-position model. The record is from RNAcentral.
ACGAACGCUGGCGGCGUGCUUAACACAUGCAAGUCGAACGGAAAGGCCCUGCUUGCAGGGUACUCGAGUGGCGAACGGAUGAGUAACACGUGGGUGAUCUGCCCUGCACUUCGGGAUAAGCCUGGGAAACUGGGUCUAAUACCGGAUAGGAGCCAUUUUUAGUGUGAUGGUUGGAAAGUUUUUUCGGUGUAGGAUGAGCUCGCGGCCUAUCAGCUUGUUGGUGGGGUAAUGGCCUACCAAGGCGGCGACGGGUAGCCGGCCUGAGAGGGUGGACGGCCACAUUGGGACUGAGAUACGGCCCAGACUCCUACGGGAGGCAGCAGUGGGGAAUAUUGCACAAUGGGCGCAAGCCUGAUGCAGCGACGCCGCGUGGGGGAUGACGGCCUUCGGGUUGUAAACUCCUUUCGCUAGGGACGAAGCUUUUUGUGACGGUACCUAGAUAAGAAGCACCGGCUAACUACGUG